Molecule: transfer RNA, 73 nt
Filed under: Marmota monax (woodchuck)
Lineage: Eukaryota; Metazoa; Chordata; Mammalia; Rodentia; Sciuridae
Description: tRNA.Ala
Rfam family: tRNA (bases 4-66)
About the family: Transfer RNA (tRNA) molecules are approximately 80 nucleotides in length. Their secondary structure includes four short double-helical elements and three loops (D, anti-codon, and T loops).
Source: RNAcentral
UCUGUGUGGCUCAGUGGUAGAGUGCUUGCCUAGCAUGUAUGAAGCUCUGGGUUCAAUCCCCAGCACUAAAGAA